RNAcentral lists this long non-coding RNA (1302 nucleotides) under Canis lupus familiaris (dog). RNAcentral describes it as "lncRNA (ENSCAFG00030003844.1)". The record is from RNAcentral. Lineage: Eukaryota; Metazoa; Chordata; Mammalia; Carnivora; Canidae.
UCUAGCCACGGAGGAGAGGCAAGCAGGUGCGUGGCAGGAGGCCACGGACAGGAGGGGGCCGAGGGCGGGUCUGUGGGACGGCGGCCGGGGCUCACAGGCCGUUGCCGGGGCUCCAGACCUCACAACAGAGCAUCUGAGGACCGUGAACCUGCAGACGGCAGCGAGGGUCUGAGCACGAAUUUACCAAGAAGCACGGGGAAUGCCAAAUGGAAAAAAAAAUGCAAGAGGAGAGGAAGAUUUUCACAGGGAAACGAAAGCCACCCAGCCCCGGACAGCAUCCACACGGUCAGGAAGCACAAAGGACGGCACGGGCGGCCCUCCUACCUUGUCGUCAUCCUCACACGUCAUGUCGUUGGAGAACAGGAUCUCCGCCUUGAACAUCUUCCAGCACUGCAUGAGCUGAACCAGCAGGUAGCACACGGUCUUGAAUUUCAUCCUCUUGGCUGCCCUGAUGUCGGACAGGAUAAGCCCUGGGAGUAUCUGUGCAGAGAGGUGGUCCGGGGACGGCCCGUGAGCAGCCCCGAGCUGCCCCCGGGCCGGGCACGACCUCACGGGGACACAGACGCCAAACAGGCGAGCGGGACCGGCGGGCCGGCUCCACGGCACACGGCUCUCGGCUCCUCCCGGGGCCUCUGGACCCAGAGCGAGGCCCCGGAGCGGGGCCUGCAGCAGUGGGGGGCUUGGGGCCCAGCCAGGGAGGGACCCGGAGGCCUGGACGUCGCUGGCUGGCGAGGCGGCAGCCGGCCGAGGACCAGCGCCAGAGACCCCCGGGGUCCUGCCCCGCAGGCCCCACCUGCCUGGGUGACUGCUGCUGUGCUGGGGUCCUGGGCGACCCCUCGCCCGGCCCUCCUCCAGGCCCGCGAGGGCUGCCCCUGCUUCAGGAGUGAGCUCAGGGAGCCCUCGGCCGUGGGCCCCAGGUCACAGGGCCUGCACAGCCCCAAACCACGGACACGCAGGACGGAGAAGCUUCAAGCUCUGUCUCGCAGCCGACCUGCUUAUGUCCUGAAGGAGCACCAGGGCCGCUGGUGCCCCCCAACCCUGCCUGUGCGCCACAACCCCCACUUGUGCCCCCAGACCCUGCCUGUGCCCCAUGGCCCCACCUUCUGUGCCCCCGGCCCCUCACCUGUGCCCCCCACUACUCGCCUGUGCCCCCAUCCCUCGCCUGCGACCCCGCCCCUCGUUGUGCCCCGCGACCCCUGCCUGUGCACUGAGACCCCGUCCUGUGCCCAAGGACCCCACUUGUGCCCCGUGGCCUCCCCUUCUGUGCCACCCGCUUCUGUGCCCCUCGCCCCCCUCCUGUGA